RNAcentral lists this unclassified non-coding RNA (352 nucleotides) under soil metagenome. Its description in RNAcentral is "partial contains 5.8S ribosomal RNA, internal transcribed spacer 2, and large subunit ribosomal RNA". The stretch from base 1 to 120 matches the Rfam family "5.8S ribosomal RNA", at positions 35 to 154 of the family's 154-position model. The record is from RNAcentral.
GAUGAAGAACGUAGUGAAAUGCGAUAAGUAAUGUGAAUUGCAGAAUUCAGUGAAUCAUCGAAUCUUUGAACGCACAUUGCGCCCGCCAGUAUUCUGGCGGGCAUGCCUGUUCGAGCGUCAUUACAACCCUCAGGCUCCCGGGCCUGGCGUUGGGGAUCGGCGGAGCCCCCCGUGGGCACACGCCGUCCCCCAAAUGCAGUGGCGGUCCCGCCGCAGCUUCCAUCGCGUAGUAGCUAACACCUCGCGACUGGAGAGCGGCGCGGCCACGCCGUAAAACACCCAACUCUUCUGAAGUUGACCUCGAAUCAGGUAGGAAUACCCGCUGAACUUAAGCAUAUCAAUAAGCGGAGGA